Molecule: long non-coding RNA, 1475 nt
Organism: Papaver somniferum (opium poppy)
Lineage: Eukaryota; Viridiplantae; Streptophyta; Magnoliopsida; Ranunculales; Papaveraceae
Exons: 3
Source: RefSeq, a predicted model, not a curated record
AGGACCGACUUCCAGGCUAGCAAAUGCUACAUCUGCUUCAGCUUAUGCUCUUAGCUGGGCGGUCUAGAAGAAAUGGGAGUUAGAAGAGAUGGAACUAUUUCUGCAGUUUUACCAUAUAACAAUGGAUCUGUGGUGCUCAAUUUAGUUAUCCAUCUUCAGUUUCUUGGGCUGGUCAAACUCUCACAGGAACAAAGGAAAUGGAGGGGUCUGUGUGCAUUUAGAGUUUUCCCUUGGAAAUGUGAAACUGGACUGAAGAUUUUCGAACUUGAUGAUGGCUACAUUCAACCAGAGAAUAAAAGCCUCUCGAACCAGUAAGUUUUUCACAGUACUCCUCGUCUCAUUACUGUAGAUCAUCAUCUGGGUCGUUUGUGUGUUCUGUAUUUUUGACGUAGUUAAAUUACUUUCUUGCGUUGUCAAUACAAAAAUCUUGCAUGAGUUUCAGUUAAGGUUUCUCCUGCUGGAUCCCCAAGGAUUAACAAGGAUGGAAAUUUUGGUAGUAAAUGACGGACACAUUUUAGUGUCCGGUUUGUCUCACUUCUCUAUAUUGUUAGUGCUUAAUUUUGUAUUUAUUAUGUUAUUUUGUGUGUAUGUAUGAGUUUUUGGUAAUAAACUUUUGUGAAAAAAUUGUCUCAAAAAGUGAUAAACGCACCCAUAAAAUUACUAAAGGCACCCCAUUUUUAGAUAAGGGCUUACAAGUGCUAAAGGCACCCCCUUGGCGGAUAUGGGCGUUCCAUCUUGUUCACCAGUUUUUUGGCGGCAAAACACAGUUUGAAACUGUGAAAUUUUUCGAGAGGAUUUCUUUAGAGGAUUUAUUCUUGAAUUUGGAUUAGUAUCACCCUGUUUCGUGUAAACAUGGGUGGUAAUGGCUUUGGAUUCGAAAAAGUAGGGAGAUUGCAUCAAUUUGAAGAAAGCUGAGAGCGGAGAUAAUAUCAGAAUUUUCUUUGGUUAUUUUUGGAAGUUAUGCAAGCUGAAGGAGGAGUAUUCUUACGGAUUCGUAUCAAUCGAGUCAGAGAGAGUAUUGGCAAAUCAUUAUACGCGUAAACGGUUCAGGAAAGGAGAAUAAAAUCUAUGCAACUUGCUAGAGAAAAGAGAAGACCAUUUUUGAGUUAUUCUCGCGUGAUUUGGGGCCUGUGAUGUGUACGUGUAUAUAUAUGUGUUGUUGGAGUCAUAGGAGGGGGGGAAAGUUUGGGAGAGCGUACACAACGAAAAUCAGUGUUACAGAAAAGAUUUCUUCACCAGCUGAGAGAAGAAGAAGAAGAACAACAACAACAGACUGCAGUUCAAGUCUGUCGUUUAUAAGCCGUGGACUUUUUUCAACUGAAGAACUGUUAUUCCUGCGACAGUUUAGUUUAAUUAUUUCCUCUGUAACACUGGUCUUGCAACAUCUAUAAUUGCAGUCUCCCUGUUUUCACUAUUUUUUCUUCUUUUCAUUUUUUGUAAAUAUUUUUCAGCCAUGAAUCAAUAUUUUGAGAGGA